AAUUGAUACAUCUUUGGGAGCCUAAAAUGGUGGAAUUUUUUUUUUUGGUUAAAGUGGAUUGUAAGUUUACUCCAUUUUUUGGAGUAUAGUAUAACUAUACUCCAAAAAUUACGUUAUUUUUUUUUUCUUCCAAACGCUUCAUAGGAUUAUUUUCCUACUAGCGUAGCAUAGUUUAACUAUGCUACGUUUUUAGAGAUAUCCAAACGGGGCCUUAGGGUGCAUUUGAUUCGCGCUAUUUUUUAAAGAUUUCUAAUAAUCCAAUAGAAAUAAAAAAAUAUGACGGUGUUUGGCUAAACGCAGUAAGUAGUCUAGUUGGUAAUAUUGGAUUCACUUGAAAUAAGAUUCAUCCCAAAGUACUAAUCUCAUUCCUUGAGGAAUGGUGGGUAUCUUCAUAUUAAUAGAUUAGAAUAAUCAAUCAUAAUAUGUCUACUCUCUUUCUUUCUCCCUACCCGCCGGCUAAUUGAUAUCAUUUUUCUUUACACUCUAACCUCGUAUCUUUUUCUAAACUUAUCUUUCUCUCUAAAAUUCAACUUUUUUUUUCUCUCUCUAAACUAAGCUUUCUCUCUCUCUCUUUCUAGAAUCUCAACUCUCUUACUUUCUCUAAUUUCGACACUAUUUCUCUUUCUAUUUUUUUAAUUAUGCUCCCUCUUCCUUUUUUUCUAAAAAGAUGUUGAAACUUUUGGUAGCAUUAUCUAAAAUUAAUUAAAAAAAAUAAAUAAAUAGUAUAUUUUUUGUAAUAUUAAAUAACAUGGCUAAAUAAUAUUACCGUGCGAACCAAACACAGGAAUUUCACAUUCUUAGUAAUAGAAUGAAUAGGAAUAAGAUUCUCGGACAUCUUUUCAUUCCUAGUAAUAUUUCAUAAUGCGAACCACCCUUAAGGCAUUAAAAGAAAAGGGUAAUGUUCUAUACUAUAUAAGAUAGAGUGUAAUAUAUAAGAUAGAGUGGUGUAAUAUAUAAGAUAGAGUGGAAUUGGGUGAUCAAGUGGUUAUUCUAAAAGUAAAAGGGUGAAUUGUGGGAAUA
RNAcentral lists this long non-coding RNA (1020 nucleotides) under Ananas comosus (pineapple). RNAcentral's name for it is "long non-coding RNA (ACOM_LNC004343)". Lineage: Eukaryota; Viridiplantae; Streptophyta; Magnoliopsida; Poales; Bromeliaceae. The record is from RNAcentral.